UCCUGGUUAGCUAAGUUGGUAGAGCGCUCCACUGGAAAUGGGGUGGUCCCUGGUUCGAUAUAAGGAUCAGGCG
Non-coding RNA from Ixodes scapularis (black-legged tick), 73 nucleotides. NCBI's taxonomy places the organism in Eukaryota, Metazoa, Arthropoda, Arachnida, Ixodida, Ixodidae. The record is from Rfam.